RNAcentral lists this ribosomal RNA (253 nucleotides) under uncultured bacterium. Its description in RNAcentral is "partial 16S ribosomal RNA". It matches the Rfam family "Bacterial small subunit ribosomal RNA", at positions 524 to 776 of the family's 1533-position model. The record is from RNAcentral.
UUCAGAGGUCCCAAGCGUUGUUCGGAUUCAUUGGGCGUAAAGGGUGCGUAGGCGGCGCGGUAAGUCGGGUGUGAAAUCUCGGGGCUUAACUCCGAAACUGCAUUCGAUACUGCCGUGCUUGAGGACUGGAGAGGAGACUGGAAUUUACGGUGUAGCGGUGAAAUUCGUAGAUAUCAAGCGGAACACCGGUGGCGAAGGCGGCCUUCUGGACAGUGACUGACGCUGAGACGCGAAAGCGUGGGGAGCAAACAGG